CGUGUGGCUCAGUUGGUAGAGCAUGGUGCUUGCAACAUCAGGCUUGUGGGUUUGAUUCCCACCAGUACGA
This 70-nucleotide transfer RNA is filed under the name Salmo salar (Atlantic salmon). It matches the Rfam family "tRNA". Rfam says of the family: Transfer RNA (tRNA) molecules are approximately 80 nucleotides in length. Their secondary structure includes four short double-helical elements and three loops (D, anti-codon, and T loops). Lineage: Eukaryota; Metazoa; Chordata; Actinopteri; Salmoniformes; Salmonidae. The record is from Rfam by way of RNAcentral. RNAcentral also lists the same sequence under 1 other name.